Molecule: long non-coding RNA, 4770 nt
Filed under: Musa acuminata (dwarf banana)
Lineage: Eukaryota; Viridiplantae; Streptophyta; Magnoliopsida; Zingiberales; Musaceae
Description: long non-coding RNA (MACU_LNC006646)
Source: RNAcentral
UUCACAUUACUGACAAGUUGGGUUACUAUGAUGGCAUGAGCCCUCGUAUCUGUGACAUGCUUUCCUCCGCGACUAAAAUUAACCGUCUGCUUGGUUGGGGUUGCAAAUUUUGGCAUAUCAAACACUUCCAGCGAGGAUGGCAGGUAACAGAUUGCACUAAAAGUGAACAGGGAUUUAUUGUAAGCUUUGAAUCAUCGACAGGGCGUGUGUAAUCUCUCUGAACUAUUGACAUUGUGUGUCUAUUAUUACCUAUGUAUGCUACGAUUAUGUGAUGCAGUUGAAAACAGUAAAACACAAAAAAGAAUAUAUUAUCAGUAACUGUAUGUGAAUUGUAUUUAUAUUUCAAUUUACAUAGUUCAUGUGAAUUGUAUUCAUAUUCAUUUAUCUAUCUCCAUUGUUAUGUGAAGCUUAAGCUUUGUGGAGGGGGAGAAGAUUUCUCUAAUCAUAUGUUUUUCUCUCCCAUAAUCUUACAAGAGAUUUUUGUAAUUAUUUUUAAAUUUUUUUGUUAACUAGGCUGAAAAGAAGAAAAUUAUUCCUAAUUUUAAAUGAUCUCACGUAAGAAUAAAAAUGAUUUUAAAUUUAAAAUUCUACUCCAUGAAGAUUUUAGCCUUAUUUCAAGACAGCAAUUGAUUUUUUUUUUAUAUUUAGAUUUUUUUGAAGUUUUCUUAAUCCCAUUCGGCCAACUCUCCUUUGGUAAGUAACAUGACUUUUGUUUAACCAAAUCUGAUGCUAUAUAUGAGAAUCAUCUGUAAGUAAGGAGCAAAACGAUAAACGUACUAACUUUUUUUAACCAAAUCUGAUGCCGUUGAGAUGAUUUAUAUACUUAAUCAUAUUAAUUGGGAACCUUAGUUUUUAUCUAAAUACAAAUGGUUGGGCACGUAUCUAAAUACAAAGAAAUUUUCAUGUAUCGAUUGGUAAGAAAUGGUUUGGCACGUAUCUAAAUACAAAUGGUUGGGCACGUAUCAAUCAUGUAGUUUUUAUCUAAAUACAAAUGUUCAUGUAAAUACAAAUGGUUGAUAGUCAUACUUGAUUUCUUUUACUUAGACCUCUUUAGCAUUUUCAUUUAAUAAAUUUAUAUUAAAAUUUUUAUAUUUAUAAAAAUAAAACAUAUAGCUUUAUUUUAACAUUGUAGGUAAGCAAGAACAAAAAGAUAAUUUUAAUAUUUCAGUUGAUGAUGACAGAUGUUGUCGAUGGUGACAGACGAAGAUGUUGUUGGGGGGCUAUAGGUGACUAUUGUAGAUGAGAAGAGCAGCGACAAGAGGUAAGGACUGCUUUACAUCUGUGUUGAUGUCGAUGCAAAUGCCAAGCAACCCUUUCGUCGCUCUGCAUCUACGUCAGCGUCGAUGUAAUUGUCUAGCGAUGAAAGGGUUAUUGAUACAAAUAUAAAACAUCACUCACCUCUCACUACUACUCUCUUCGUCUACAAUAGCUACUCGAACGACCCUUACAUCGAUUGGCAUCUACGUUAGUGUUGAUGCAGUUGUCGAACUGCUGAUAUAGAUGCAGAGCGAUGCUACUCUACAUCUGUAUCGACGUUGAUGCAAUUGAUAAGCUAUGUCACUUUGCAUCUUCAAAGCAAUAAAAGGAUCGCUUGAUAAUUGCGUCGGUGUCGAUGCAAAUACAAAGUGGCCCUCAUUUUUCACCAUCACUCUCCUCAUUCAUAAUAGCCACCCGCAAUCCCAACGAUAUCAUCGUUCGCCACCAAUAUCGUCUAUCAUCAUCAACUAAAACGUUAAGAUUAUCUUUGUAUCCUUUAUUUUCAUUGUAUAAUUGGAUAAAUAAAAUUAGAUAUUUUAAAGAUUACAAUAUAAAUUUUUUAAUUUUAGAAAUCAGGAUGUUAACAAGGUCUGAUUAAUUAGAUAAUUUGUAAUUAGCUCAUAACACUGUAGACUAUGUAUAUACUAUAACGUGAUCCAAAGGCUGUAACAUCAUCAGAUGCUGAUGACACAUCAGAUCUGCACCACGCCGGCGAGAACGUACGAGCUUUCGUCUUUGGCGGAAGCAGCUUUCGUUCCCAUGGCCUCGUUCGCUCACUUGUCGCCGGUUAUCACCAUCGGAUCACUGUCGAAGCGGUUGGCGUCUCGGAUGGGUAGCCAUGUGCGAUCCCUGUGGGAUUCUGAUGCACGUAAGGGAUUCAAACACUUAGAGAUUAAUCCCAGAGUUACACACUGCGUCGCUGACCUCUUUGUCCUUUGGUUCCUUGUCACUGGGACAGGUAAGGACGGCAACUGAGAUGCUCUUGACUGUUAACGCGGGAGCAGCUUCUCACUGAUCAUUUCAUCAAACAUGUUAUAGCAAGCUCAGUACCCAUCAUUACACCUGUGAAAUCUUGGAACAGGCUGCAGUUCCUGCUAUUCUACCCGAUGCCCAUGAAGAAUUCUAUAGAAAUGUCCUCACAGAACUGGAAUCUUCAGCGGAUGCCAUUUAUACAGGGAUAGAUCAGAUCCAAGUGCCCCAUUGCCACAACAGACCUCAGGGUUCGAUGUUCAUGAUGGUUAGUCUAUUAUAUCGUCCAUUGAUGCGUGGCUUUUUUUUUGUUUAGCUCAUGACUGUUCCAUUCAAUUGUAUUUGUAGGUUGAGGUGAACACGUCCCUUCUACUUGACAAACAAACCAAACGAGAAAAAAAAAAAGGAAGGAUAUGUUUUACUUCAAAGAAAAAUCAAAAGAAGGUGCAAAUUCUUAAACAAAUAUUUCUAAAAUGUUGAUAUUCCUGAACAGGAGAUGUAUUUUUGUAAAUAUUAUGUAUAGGUAGAUCCAUGCUAAAAUUGUCUUUUGGAAUCCAUAAAUAAACCAUUUUUGAAAUUUUCUUUUAAUCAUAUUACCACAAUUCAAAUUGCAGGCAGAGAAUUACCUGCUUAAUUUGUGACCUUCAUGGAGCUGAGGAAAUGCAUAUCACACCCAUCGCCUACAACGAAAGCUCCAGACAGCAGUUAUGCCAUUAAGAUGCAGAUAGCAAGAGACGACUUCUGAAUUUUACCCUUCUGUAAAUCCAUAGCAUACAAUAUAUAAGCAAUAUGGAUAAUAGGAUACUGCAAAUGAAUGGCAAGUGACAGAACUCAAAGUUACUUAUAGCCAAUGUUAGCAAAAGCUAUCAUAUAAAAUCCAGUAAAAACAGAAAGGAGAGCAUUUAUGAAUAUGCAUAGUGUUCUAAUGAAGAAUGUCAUUACUAUGCCCACCAUACUAACGAUGGCAACUAUCUUAUAUGAGUUUUAGGCAUUCGAGAAAAGAUUGGCAAGCCCACUGGGGCAUGAAUACAGAUAGGAGGUCAGAUUUCAGAAAGGUGAACAACAGAAAAAAUUGUCUUGAAACAUUAAAUGAUCCUAUAUGAGUUUUAAAGCAUUUUAAAUGCAGUGCAAUGUAAUAUCAUAAAGAAAGAAUUUAAGAAUGAGCACAUUGACAUUCUUUAGUUGAGACACUAAAAUAAAGUCUCUUGUUUUAAUAAUCAUUUCCUCCGACUACAGAGGUUAUAGAAAUGAAUAAAGGGUAUACAAUGAUCUAUCAAUUUUUUAAUAGGAUUAGACAUAAACAAGUCAACACCACAAUGUUCUUAAAUCUUGAAUAAAGGAGGCAUAGCUUAAAGACUAGUUUAAUCUCCUCAUGGAAAUUAGUUUGUCAUUGUUAUCACUGCAAAUCAGUCUGUAUAAGCAGACAAGUCUAAGGAAUUUUAAGCCUCAUAAUAACAUCACAAAUAAGUCACAUCAAUCCCAAUAUGUCUCUUGAUACGAAGCCCAUCUUCACAAUUCUGUGAUUGUUCUCCAAGUCUACUUCCACUUAUAAGAUCCAUUCCUCAACCCAGUUGAACUUAUUCUGGUAUAAUCAAUAUGUAAUUUCUUUAUUCAUUCUCACAAAAAUAACAAGCAUUUUUCAUAUAUCUCAGUAAUCCAUAAUCCAUGACAUUUCAUGUAGUCCAAUGUUCUUGUUUUAUUUCCAUUUCUAUGCAAGAAUAAACAAAACCUUAUAGCACCUAGCUUUUCUCCAACCGCUAAUCCAACAUCUACUUCUCGGAGGAAGGGUAAGCAUAACAAUCAUCGAAACCCUAAUUUUUCUUUUUCCGCAAGUGAAAUCCAAGAUUCUUUAAUUACAAGAUCAAGAUUUCUUGAGCCCUAAAACUUUCUUACAAGCAAAUUCCUAUAACGAACUACAGCGGAUGAAAACGGAAGCAAGCCCCAAGCAUCUCGAGUUGCAAGAAGGUCAUCAUUGAUCAGUUCGAAGGAAACAGCACAUAGCGAUCAAGAAUUCCUAUAACGAACUACGAUCAAUUAUUGAUCCCAAAAAAGUUUCUUACAAGCAAUUUCCUACGGUGAACCUCCAGGGGACGAACCGAAGCAGGCCCCAAGAAUCUUGAGUUGCAAGAAGAACAUCGCCGAUCAAGAAUUCCUAUAACUAACCACAACAAAGAUGACCAGCAAAUUUACAACAAUCUUGAGUUGCAAGAAGAUCAACGUGGAACGCAAAUGAUUCGUAUAAUCAUAACCCGCGAGCUACUUACCAUCAACAAUUCACGAGCGAUGGAAGAAACAUCUGAAGGAGGCGGAUCGAACCUUGAGGAUGGUUUGGAUCCACGUCCUAGUGAGAUCCCGCAACGGAAAAUGGGAAGGGGGCGGAGAAAAGUGGGGAGGAGAAGCAUUGUAAAACCCUAGGAGGAGAGUUCUUGAGAAUGGAGAUUAAGAUUUUGGUUUCUGCUCCGACGAAUCAGAUCACUCCCAUUUGGUUUCUGCUCCGCCGAAUCAGAUCACUCCCGCCGGUCCUCCCUCUUCGAGUCCUCNNNN